GAAGGAGGCUGGGAGGUGCACUCUGGGCCCUCUCCCCAGCCCCCACUGCCGCCCGCUGUUUCUUGGAGAGCCAGCCUCGGAUCCCUGGCCUAUCUUGGCAGGACUGCACGGGAAGGCCACCCCUGCGGCCCCUGGCGCCUCCCACCCCAUCCUGGAGAGGACACCCCAGGGGCCACACAAACUCCACACCUUCUCUGGGAGCCCUGCCUACGACCCUUCACCAUCCCAGCCGUUGACCUUCCUCUUCGGCCCGGUGUUAGGACAUUUCUUACUCACCCCGACUUCCAAAUGGCUUCUGCGUCUUGCCUGAUGGUCUCUGUUCCGCCCUGUGCUGACUGUCGGGUGGUCCGUGAGACAGACUCGUACUGAAGACCCUCUCACCUCCUCUCUCCACCUCCACCCUCCCCUCAGCAAUGACAUACUUGAGGAAAGGCCGUAUUUUCCUUAUUGUGUAAACAGCUUAUUUGUCCCAAGUAUCGUCUCUUCAACCUCUGCUCCGCCUCCUGGCUUUUCUGAAACCAAGAUGGCUCUUCCAAGGUGUUUUGUGAAUAAUAGACCAUCUGCUACUUUAGCCACAAGAAUAAGUGAUUUCCCAAGAUUGAAUUCUCAAGCAUGUUGCCUUUCCCACAAAUGUCUGUAAAUUGAGGGAAACAAAGA
This is a long non-coding RNA of Puma concolor (puma), 657 nucleotides long. RefSeq lists it as uncharacterized. The record is from RefSeq and is a predicted model, not a curated record. Lineage: Eukaryota; Metazoa; Chordata; Mammalia; Carnivora; Felidae.